UUUGUGGGACCGCGGCGGCGUAGGCGUGCGACGGAGUUCGGACGUGGUUGUCCUGAUCCUGGACCAGGACGUUGACGAAAUAACCGAGCCUAGGGUCAGAUAAGAAGCUCAGAUCGUUAGCGAAAAGCUGAGCCAUUUUUCUCUCCCGACGAACAAGGAAGAAGGGGGUGGCGGCGGCGGUUCCUUCUGGCCACAAGGAAAAAAGGGAGGAUGCUGGGAUGGAGUUACUUCUCAACGCCGUCGACAGGUUCCCACUGAUGUAGGAGUUCGCGGACACCGUUGAGCAGCCAGAUGUGGCUCCUCUGGUGUUGAUGCGGCCAAGCGAGGCCGCCUGCGGUGGGACUAUGAACUCAAAGGGUGCUUCUGGAUGCAGCCAGCAGGUCAGCGAUGACGAGCUAACCGGGAGGCAUGGUGGAGCUCGCUGCCAUGCGGAUGCAUCUCCCGACUAGGUCGGCGCAGUCCACUGACACAGUGAAUCCGAAAGUUCCUGGAUGGACAAAAAGAUUAUGGCUAAGGAGUGAGCCACCAGAUAGGACACCAUGUCUAUCACGGAUGAGUGCGCUCGAGGAGUCGAUCCACAAGUUUGAUUCAGAAUAAGGUACGGUAAGAGCUGGCUAAACGUCGAGAGGACAAGGUGUCAAAGUGAAUGCAAGAAAUCGCAUGCGGCUGCUCGGUAAACACUUAUUCAUGUAAUUAUUGUUUUGGAAGGUAAGCAGCAGCCAUGGACGUCGGUGCUACAAGUGUGUUUAAAUGAUGACAUUUGUGUUUUUUGUCAAUUAUACAGGGGAAACCAGAGGCGGAGAAUAGUAGGUCAUGUCGGUGUAAGUGUGUUGCAUUGAUAAGGCUGAUGCGCGUGUUCGACAACAGUUGAUACAUAACAGAGAAAGCAGAUGGUCCAUGACAAAAUAUAACAAAGGCUAUCUGGAAACAAUCUUUUUCAAGCUGGCUGGAAUUCUCGUUGAUGUCGCGCAAAAGGAACUCUUCUGCUGCACGCAAGCUGUGAACCCCCGUCUUGUUCAUUUCAACUGUACCCUUUAUGAACUGAAUUGCUUCAGGGUUUAUGUUGGCAUCUCUGCCUUUGAUUU
Long non-coding RNA from Triticum aestivum (bread wheat), 1085 nucleotides. RefSeq lists it as uncharacterized. The transcript has 4 exons. Lineage: Eukaryota; Viridiplantae; Streptophyta; Magnoliopsida; Poales; Poaceae. The record is from RefSeq and is a predicted model, not a curated record.